ACGAACGCUGGCGGCGUGCUUAACACAUGCAAGUCGAACGGAAAGGCCUCUUUAGGGGGGUACUCGAGUGGCGAACGGGUGAGUAACACGUGAGUAACCUGCCCUUGACUUUGGGAUAACUUCAGGAAACUGGGGCUAAUACCGGAUAGGAGCUCCUGCUGCAUGGUGGGGGUUGGAAAGUUUCGGCGGUUGGGGAUGGACUCGCGGCUUAUCAGCUUGUUGGUGGGGUAGUGGCUUACCAAGGCUUUGACGGGUAGCCGGCCUGAGAGGGUGACCGGCCACAUUGGGACUGAGAUACGGCCCAGACUCCUACGGGAGGCAGCAGUGGGGAAUAUUGCACAAUGGGUGGAAGCCUGAUGCAGCAACGCCGUGUGCGGGAUGACGGCCUUCGGGUUGUAAACCGCUUUCGCUCAUGACGAAGCUUUGUGUGACGGUAGUGGGUAAAGAAGCACCGGCUAACUACGUG
This 466-nucleotide ribosomal RNA is filed under the name uncultured bacterium. RNAcentral describes it as "partial 16S ribosomal RNA". It matches the Rfam family "Bacterial small subunit ribosomal RNA", at positions 29 to 507 of the family's 1533-position model. The record is from RNAcentral.